CAGCCGCCGCGGUAAUACGGAGGGCGCGAGCGUUGUCCGGAUUCACUGGGCGUAAAGCGCGCGCAGGCGGUCCUUUAAGUCUGAUGUGAAAGCCCACGGCUCAACCGUGGAGGGUCAUUGGAAACUGGGGGACUUGAGUGCAGGAGAGGAGAGCGGAAUUCCACGUGUAGCGGUGAAAUGCGUAGAGAUGUGGAGGAACACCAGUGGCGAAGGCGGCUCUCUGGCCUGUAACUGACGCUGAGGCGCGAAAGCGUGGGGAGCAAACAGGAUUAGAUACCCUGGUAGUCCACGCCGUAAACGAUGAGUGCUAAGUGUUAGAGGGGUCACACCCUUUAGUGCUGGAGCUAACGCGAUAAGCACUCCGCCUGGGGAGUACGGCCGCAAGGCUGAAACUUAAAGGAAUUGGCGGG
This 410-nucleotide ribosomal RNA is filed under the name uncultured microorganism. Its description in RNAcentral is "bacterial SSU rRNA". It matches the Rfam family "Bacterial small subunit ribosomal RNA", at positions 509 to 917 of the family's 1533-position model. The record is from RNAcentral.